RNAcentral lists this ribosomal RNA (500 nucleotides) under uncultured bacterium. RNAcentral describes it as "bacterial SSU rRNA". It matches the Rfam family "Bacterial small subunit ribosomal RNA", at positions 29 to 524 of the family's 1533-position model. The record is from RNAcentral.
AUUGAACGCUGGCGGCGUGCCUAACACACGCAAGUCGAUCGGUAACAGGUGUAGCAAUACAUGCUGACGAGAGGCGGACGGGUGAGUAACGCUUGGGAAUCUGCCUAUUAGUGGGGGACAACCCGGGGAAACUCGGGCUAAUACCGCAUACGCUCUACGGAGGAAAGCCGGGGACCGCAAGGCCUGGCGCUAAUAGAUGAGCCCAAGUCGGAUUAGCUAGUUGGUAGGGUAAUGGCCUACCAAGGCGACGAUCCGUAGCUGGUCUGAGAGGACGACCAGCCACACUGGGACUGAGACACGGCCCAGACUCCUACGGGAGGCAGCAGUGGGGAAUAUUGGACAAUGGGGAAACCCUGAUCCAGCGACGCCGCGUGGGUGAAGAAGGCCUGCGGGUUGUAAAGCCCUUUCGGUGGGAAGAAAGCCUCGACCUAACACGUCGGGGUAUUGACGUAACCCACAAAAGAAGCACCGGCUAACUCUGUGCCAGCAGCCGCGGUAAU